AGAGCUUGCUCUCUGGGUGGCGAGUGGCGGACGGGUGAGGAAUACAUCGGAAUCUACUUUUUCGUGGGGGAUAACGUAGGGAAACUUACGCUAAUACCGCAUACGACCUACGGGUGAAAGCAGGGGAUCUUCGGACCUUGCGCGAUUGAAUGAGCCGAUGUCGGAUUAGCUAGUUGGCGGGGUAAAGGCCCACCAAGGCGACGAUCCGUAGCUGGUCUGAGAGGAUGAUCAGCCACACUGGAACUGAGACACGGUCCAGACUCCUACGGGAGGCAGCAGUGGGGAAUAUUGGACAAUGGGCGCAAGCCUGAUCCAGCCAUACCGCGUGGGUGAAGAAGGCCUUCGGGUUGUAAAGCCCUUUUGUUGGGAAAGAAAUCCAGCUGGUUAAUACCCGGUUGGGAUGACGGUACCCAAAGAAUAAGCACCGGCUAACUUCGUGCCAGCAGCCGCGGUAAUACGAAGGGUGCAAGCGUUAGUCGGAAUUACUGGGCGUAAAGCGUGCGUAGGUGGUCGUUUAAGUCCGUUGUGAAAGCCCUGGGCUCAACCUGGGAACUGCAGUGGAUACUGGGCGACUAGAAUGUGGUAGACGGGUAGCGGAAUUCCUGGUUGUAGCAGUGAAAUGC
Molecule: ribosomal RNA, 623 nt
Filed under: Stenotrophomonas sp. GA91-2
Lineage: Bacteria; Pseudomonadati; Pseudomonadota; Gammaproteobacteria; Lysobacterales; Lysobacteraceae
Description: bacterial SSU rRNA
Rfam family: Bacterial small subunit ribosomal RNA
Source: RNAcentral